Molecule: ribosomal RNA, 280 nt
Filed under: [Ruminococcus] torques ATCC 27756
Lineage: Bacteria; Bacillati; Bacillota; Clostridia; Lachnospirales; Lachnospiraceae
Description: partial 16S ribosomal RNA
Rfam family: Bacterial small subunit ribosomal RNA
Source: RNAcentral
UAUGGUAAUUGUCAGCCGCCGCGGUAAUACGUAUGGUGCAAGCGUUAUCCGGAUUUACUGGGUGUAAAGGGAGCGUAGACGGAUGGGCAAGUCUGAUGUGAAAACCCGGGGCUCAACCCCGGGACUGCAUUGGAAACUGUUCAUCUAGAGUGCUGGAGAGGUAAGUGGAAUUCCUAGUGUAGCGGUGAAAUGCGUAGAUAUUAGGAGGAACACCAGUGGCGAAGGCGGCUUACUGGACAGUAACUGACGUUGAGGCUCGAAAGCGUGGGGAGCAAACAGG